Molecule: non-coding RNA, 72 nt
Organism: Phrynosoma platyrhinos (Desert horned lizard)
Lineage: Eukaryota; Metazoa; Chordata; Lepidosauria; Squamata; Phrynosomatidae
Source: the annotation of a GenBank genome assembly
GCAAGUGUGGCGGAGUGGUUUGAGUGUUGGACUAUAACUCAGGAGACCAGGGUUCGAAUCCUGGCUCAGUCU